ACGCUCGACACCUACUGGAGGCAGCAGUGGGGAAUAUUGCACAAUGGAGGAAACUCUGAUGCAGCGAUGCCGCGUGAGGGAAGAAGGUUUUCGGAUUGUAAACCUCUGUCUUUGGGGACGAUAAUGACGGUACCCAAGGAGGAAGCUCCGGCUAACUACGUGCCAGGAGCCGCGGUAAUCUGAGCGGGCUGGCAAGGC
RNAcentral lists this ribosomal RNA (198 nucleotides) under uncultured bacterium. Its description in RNAcentral is "partial 16S ribosomal RNA". It matches the Rfam family "Bacterial small subunit ribosomal RNA", at positions 328 to 539 of the family's 1533-position model. The record is from RNAcentral.